RNAcentral lists this ribosomal RNA (478 nucleotides) under uncultured bacterium. Its description in RNAcentral is "partial 16S ribosomal RNA". It matches the Rfam family "Bacterial small subunit ribosomal RNA", at positions 28 to 523 of the family's 1533-position model. The record is from RNAcentral.
GACGAACGCUGGCGGCGUGCUUAACACAUGCAAGUCGAACGGUAAGGCCCUUCGGGGUACACGAGUGGCGAACGGGUGAGUAACACGUGGGUGAUCUGCCCUGCACUUCGGGAUAAGCCUGGGAAACUGGGUCUAAUACCGGAUAGGACCCUGGGAUGCAUGUCCUGGGGUGGAAAGCUUUUGCGGUGUGGGAUGGGCCCGCGGCCUAUCAGCUUGGUGGUGGGGUGAUGGCCUACCAAGGGGACGACGGGUAGCCGGCCUGAGAGGGUGACCGGCCACACUGGGGCUGAGAUACGGCCCAGACUCCUACGGGAGGCAGCAGUGGGGAAUAUUGCGCAAUGGGCGCAAGCCUGAUGCAGCGACGCCGCGUGAGGGAUGACGGCCUUCGGGUUGUAAACCUCUUUCAGCACCGACGAAGCGCAAGUGACGGUAGGUGCAGAAGAAGGACCGGCUAACUACGUGCCAGCAGCCGCGGUAA